CAACUGUGUGAAUUAAUGUGAACUGCAUACUGAUCUGAACAUCGACAUCUUGAACGCACAUUGCGGCCAUGGGUUAGCCUGUGGCCACGUCUGCCCGAGGGUUGGCUUCUAAACUAUCACGACGCCCAUAAAGUCGUGGUCUGGGUUCUGCCAACUGGCAUGAUUUCCUCGAUACUUUCGAGGUGCCGGGUCUAUGGYUUUUCCCCAAUUAAUGUGUCCGCAAAACCACCAUACAUGUUGUUGUGGCGGAGUCGUGGCCAAAUGUGAUUGUGAUAAUAUGCGCGCUCCGUUUUGUGGUUGAGAUUGUGUGGAGGUUUGUGACAUACUUGCCUGGCCUACCUACCUGACCUCGGAUCAGACGUGAAUACCCGCUGAACUUAAGCAUAUCACUAAGCGGAGGAAAAGAAACUAACAAGGAUUCCCUCAGUAACGGCGAGUGAACAGGGAUUAGCCCAGCACCGAAGCCUGUGUCCAUUUGGGCAUUAGGCAAUGUGGUGUUUGGGUCGUUCCACUGAGGUACUGCUCCAUCCUAAGUCCAGAAAUGAGUACGGUGGUACGGACACGGCCCACAGAGGGUGAAAGGCCCGUGGGGG
RNAcentral lists this ribosomal RNA (593 nucleotides) under Renicola sloanei. Its description in RNAcentral is "eukaryotic LSU rRNA". Lineage: Eukaryota; Metazoa; Platyhelminthes; Trematoda; Plagiorchiida; Renicolidae. The record is from RNAcentral.